GUCUCUUUGGUCUAAUGGUUAGGACGUUGCUUUUUCACGGCAGAAAUAUGGGUUCAAUUCUCAUAAGAGAUU
RNAcentral lists this transfer RNA (72 nucleotides) under Sargassum hemiphyllum. Its description in RNAcentral is "tRNA-Glu". It matches the Rfam family "tRNA". Rfam says of the family: Transfer RNA (tRNA) molecules are approximately 80 nucleotides in length. Their secondary structure includes four short double-helical elements and three loops (D, anti-codon, and T loops). RNAcentral also lists the same sequence under 1 other name. Lineage: Eukaryota; Phaeophyceae; Fucales; Sargassaceae. The record is from RNAcentral.